UACGUAGGUGGCAAGCGUUGUUCGGAAUUACUGGGCGUAAAGCGCGCGUAGGCGGCUCUUCAAGUCAGGCGUGAAAGCCCCGAGCUUAACUCGGGAACUGCGUUUGAUACUGUCGAGCUAGAGUGUGGAAGGGGCGAUUGGAAUUCCGUGUGUAGCGGUGAAAUGCGUAGAUAUACGGAGGAACACCAGAGGCGAAGGCGGAUCGCUGGGCCAACACUGACGCUGAUAUGCGAAAGCUAGGGGAGCAAACGGG
Molecule: ribosomal RNA, 253 nt
Filed under: uncultured bacterium
Lineage: Bacteria
Description: partial 16S ribosomal RNA
Rfam family: Bacterial small subunit ribosomal RNA
Source: RNAcentral